GCGCCGUCUUCACCUCGGUACACAGCGCCGGCCUGGCAAGCAACAAAGACAGAGUGCAAUAACAGAGUGAUUCAGGAUAGUGCAAGCAAUAAUGAAACCACAUCAGUUGGGAUGGUGCAUGCGAGAAUGGUACAACAUAGGAAAGAGUAUUGACAAUUAUCUAUAAGGUGCAUGCGAUAAUGG
Nematostella vectensis (starlet sea anemone) is the source of this 183-nucleotide long non-coding RNA. RefSeq lists it as uncharacterized. The record is from RefSeq and is a predicted model, not a curated record. Lineage: Eukaryota; Metazoa; Cnidaria; Anthozoa; Actiniaria; Edwardsiidae. The transcript is spliced from 2 exons.